Molecule: unclassified non-coding RNA, 334 nt
Filed under: soil metagenome
Description: partial contains 5.8S ribosomal RNA, internal transcribed spacer 2, and large subunit ribosomal RNA
Rfam family: 5.8S ribosomal RNA (bases 1-120)
Source: RNAcentral
GAUGAAGAACGCAGCGAAAUGCGAUAAGUAAUGCGAAUUGCAGAUUUCAGUGAGUCAUCGAAUCUUUGAACGCACAUUGCGCCCGCCAGUAUUCUGGCGGGCAUGCCUGUUCGAGCGUCAUUUCAACCAUCAAGCCCUGCUUGCGUUGGGGUCCUGCGGCUGCCCGCAGGCCCUGAAAACCAGUGGCGGGCUCGCUAGUCACACCGAGCGCAGUAAUACAUCUCGCUUUGGGCGUGCGGCGGGUUCUUGCCGUUAAACACCCCCUUUUUACCAAGGUUGACCUCGGAUCAGGUAGGAAUACCCGCUGAACUUAAGCAUAUCAAUAAGCGGAGGA